Molecule: ribosomal RNA, 497 nt
Filed under: uncultured bacterium
Lineage: Bacteria
Description: partial 16S ribosomal RNA
Rfam family: Bacterial small subunit ribosomal RNA
Source: RNAcentral
GAUGAACGCUGGCGGCGUGCCUAAUACAUGCAAGUCGAGCGAACGGACGAGAAGCUUGCUCCUCUGAUGUUAGCGGCGGACGGGUGAGUAACACGUGGAUAACCUACCUCUAAGACUGGGAUAACUUCGGGAAACCGGAGCUAAUACCGGAUAAUAUUUCGAACCGCAUGGUUCAAAAGUGAAAGACGGUCUUGCUGUCACUUAUAGAUGGAUCCGCGCUGCAUUAGCUAGUUGGUAAGGUAACGGCUUACCAAGGCAACGAUGCAUAGCCGACCUGAGAGGGUGAUCGGCCACACUGGAACUGAGACACGGUCCAGACUCCUACGGGAGGCAGCAGUAGGGAAUCUUCCGCAAUGGGCGAAAGCCUGACGGAGCAACACCGCGUGAGUGAUGAAGGUCUUCGGAUCGUAAAGCUCUGUUAUUAGGGAAGAACAUAUGUGUAAGUAACCGUGCACAUCUUGACGGUACCUAAACAGAAAGCCACGGCUAACUACGUG